This is a long non-coding RNA of Syngnathoides biaculeatus (alligator pipefish), 1629 nucleotides long. RefSeq lists it as uncharacterized. The transcript has 3 exons. The record is from RefSeq and is a predicted model, not a curated record. NCBI's taxonomy places the organism in Eukaryota, Metazoa, Chordata, Actinopteri, Syngnathiformes, Syngnathidae.
GCGCGAUGGCGUGGCACAGGGGUGGGUCGAUGUCCGCAGGCACACACACACAACAUUCCAGCCCUCACCCGAAAUCGCCCCUCCGCGCGCACGGGGACGAGGGGGAACGCGAAAUCUCAUGUCUUCUUUGUCUUACAGGCCCGAACGGAGACAUCUCCUGGGGGCCAAUGAAUCACAGACCUUGAGAAUGGGGAGACAGACUAAAUUCCAUAUAUGUGUAUGAAAGGGUCUAUGCAUCAAUGCAUGUUUCCUUGGUUAUGUGUGUGUGUGUGUAUAUAUAUAAACCCUGAUACUCAUACGUGCUUGCACGGCAACACAGGAGUUAUUUAGACAGCCAGGGUUUUAAAUAUCAUUUGUACAUUGAAAUAUUGUAUAUAUCGUAGGAGUGCUUCCUACGGGAUGCCGUGAUUUCAUAGCCCUGUCUAGGACCUACUGUGGUGUUUGUCUUCACUCGUGCCUGCGGUGGAACAAAAAAAAGCGAUGCUUCGAGGCUGGCAGUACCUCUGCAGACCCACCAGAUGGAGACUGUGGGAAUGAUGCCGAGCAGGACGAGAGAGGAAGAACUUCGUCCGGAGGGGUCAGGGCUUCCUGUAUGGAGGAUCCUUCCACAAUGCGCAUGCGAGGAGGUACUUCUCUGCUGCAAAGGGUUUUUGGGGCUCGGAUGAAAAAAAAGAAAUCCGCGUUAGUAGCAGCCACCGGGUGCAUGACCUACUGUGGUGUUUGUCUUCACAAGAGCCUGCGGUGGAAAAAAAAAAAAAAGUGAUGCUUCGAGGCUGGCAGUACCUCUGCAGACCCACCAGAUGGCGACUGUGGGAAGGAUGCCGAGCAGGACGAGAGAGGAAGAACUCCGUCAGGAAGGGUCAGGGCUUCCUGUCUGGACGACCCGUCCGGAACAAUGCGCAUUGCGAGGAGGUACUUCUCUGCUGCAAAGGGUUUUUGGGGCUCGGAUGAAAAAAAAGAAAUCCGCGUUAGGAGCAGCCACCGGGUGCAUAGCCUGCGGUGGAAAAAAAAAAAAAAGUGAUGCUUCGAGGCUGGCAGUACCUCUGCAGACCCACCAGAUGGCGACUGUGGGAAGGAUGCCGAGCAGGACAAGAGAGGAAAAACUCCGUCAGGAGGGGUCAGGGCUUCCUGUAUGGAGGACCCGUCCGGAACAAUGCGCAUGCGAGGAGGUACUUCUCUGCUGCAAAGGGUUUUUGGGCCUCGGAUAUAAAAAAAAAAAGAAAUCCGCGUUAGUAGCAGCCACUGGGUGCAUGUAAGUCGGUGGACCGGAAUCUGGCCACCUGCCCUGAUUUGUGUUUAACAUGAUUAGCAAUAUCAAUGUUUAGAAAGUUCGCAGUGUGCUUCCGUAUUGACAGAGGCUCAUCAUAUAGCCUAAACGUUGACGUAUAGCACACAUAGAACGCGUUGGCUAACAUACACAGACUGAUUUCAUUGUUAGAAACCUGAUGUAAUGUUUGUAUAAAUUUAUGAAACAAGUGUGUAUAUAUAAAACGAUGGUUGUUCAUGAAGACAAGAAACGUUCUUGAACACUUUAUUAGGACACCUGGACUGUACAGAAUAUACUUUGUAUAAUAGGCACAACAGGUGCCUUUAUAAAAAUUAUAAAAAGACAUUCCGCUGCUUGCCAAA